Molecule: RNA transcript, 2332 nt
Organism: Venturia canescens
Lineage: Eukaryota; Metazoa; Arthropoda; Insecta; Hymenoptera; Ichneumonidae
Exons: 9
Source: RefSeq, a predicted model, not a curated record
AACACGUGAUCAAACAUGAAAUUUUAAAUAAUAUUUUCAUCGGUCGCAGAAUUUGCCUCACCCUUAUCUAUUAUUUGAUCUGUUUAUUUUCUGUUUAAUUUAAUUUGUGUACCCAACUCGCUAAGUAGACGAUUACCGCAGAUGUCGCAUUUAGAGAAAUGAGAAUAAAAACCGGAGCAGUCUUCGAUGAAAUUACUACUCUUCAUUCGGCUAUACAACUAAGCAUAACGACUCGUCUACAAAAAAUGUCAACGCUGUUUACCGUUCUUGGGGCCGCUGCAAUCUUCAUUUUGAUUCUGCGGACGAACGGCGCCACCGUUCAAAAGAAGGAUACAAUUUGUCAGCUCGACCAGUCGAUAGGAACAAUCGACGCGCUGGUCACUUCCGUAAGAAAAAAUGCUUUGAAUGUUUCGUCACGACAAGCGAGUGAAAAGAAUUUGGCAGUUGUUCAAGAGUUCCAAAAGAAUGCAACGGAAUUUUCUCGAGAGCUUCGUUCCGCUCUUGAAAAUGUUGCCAACGAAAAUCGUCUCGGAUUGAGUUUCAAUGAAACAACGUGCAGCCGCUACUUCAAUGAUUUUGAAAAAAGCAGCAAAGUGCUGAUGAAGGAGUUGGAUGACUCUGUCUCCGUGGGAUCGGCCGAGAUGGCCGCAUCGCUUAGAAAUAUGCUGGGACCCGUAGCAAACGAAACGAAAACAAAAAUAAUGAGUUUCAAGGAUAAAGCAGCUACGUGCAAGGGAUUUGCAUGCAAAGAUAUCAGUUUAGAGGUGAAUAAGGUCUUGAAUGCAUACGUGGUCGCACUCAUUCGUCUUAUUUACGAUAACGAUGCGGAGUUCAACAACGAAUCGGCUGACAAAAUAUACCAACGUAUUACUGCAACAGGAAACGAGGCUUUCAACCGAUCCCGUGACUGCCUAUCUUCGUUAUGAUUUCAACGAGUCCGAAUCCCUUCCCGCUACGGAGUUCGUGCAGCUGAUGUUUAUGCUAAUUUCCAAUCCAAGAAUCACUAUAAAAGCCGGAGUAGUCUACUAUCGAACCAUAUUCUUCAUUUGGCUACAAGAAAAGAGGUGUCGAGAGAAUGUCGAAGUUCACAAUCAUUCUAUGUGCCGUCGCUACCUUCAAUGUGGCAACCUCUGCCAGUGGAAAAAAACAGGAUGGACCGGCGGCUCUUUUUUUCGACCCGUUGCUCGAAAAAGUCGAAAGCCGCGCCUUAGUAGUAAAUAAAAUAGUUUACAAUUCGUCUCUGGUAUUAAGCAAAAUGGAUUUCCAAAUCGCUCAUGAGUUCUCAAAAAAUGCAUCGGAUACAUAUGAAAAGUUUAUUGAGUUACUUCCAAAAAUGAUGGCCGACGAACAAGCUCGUGGAGGCAAAUUCAAUGAAACACAGUGCACGAGCUACUUGACCGAUUUCAAAGAAACCCAAUCAAAAGUUUUGAAUGAUUUGGAUGAAGGCAUCUACGGCCCAUUGUUCGAAGUAAUGAACCCGGUGACGGAACUCCUGGGACCAAAAACGAGUGAAGUGAAAUCAGCCAUAUGGUCGCUCAAAGAAGAUGCAGAUAAAUUGAUGAGGAAGGCAAGAAACUUGGUUAAGAAUUACAUGACCGAGUCUCAAGAAGUUCUGGAUAACUUUUCGGCCACGAUCAACAACUCGACGAUUCGGGAAUUCGCUGAUAGAAAAUUGGAAAAUUUGAUUGACAAGGCGAAUGAGGCUUUUAAUGAAACACUCAAGUGCAUAAGCGUUUCUCGUUAAUACAAUACCGAAAAUUCGAAAGAGGACGGAGUGGACAUGUUUGAGAGCAUCGAUAGUUUAGUGGGUGUUACUGAGAAUUACAAUUGAGUUCUAAACGUUUUCGUGGCAAGGCGAUCCGAUGCCUCCGCUCUACUCCCACUUUUUCUCUACUUUUGUAAUCUAGGGAUAAAGUUUAGAAGAAGUGACGAUUCUGCGGAGUUGGAAAGACGAGAAAUGCGUGAGCCAAACUCCUCUUAUUGGGAAGGAAAAUCGAUAUCGAGCUCUACAGUGGUUCAUCACCUCACUACUUGCCUCUAAAAAAAUGUCAACAGAAAUGCUAAACCUUCGUAAAACAACGAGCUCCCAGCUCCUACGAUCUUUCUUUCUUUUGUUCUUUUUGGGGUUAUGGUUAUUUUGAAUAAAUAUACGAGAACAGUUUCAGUAUUCAAUAUUCAAAUCUUUAUUUGACACGUCCGAUCUCCAUCAGAGUCCACGCAAGAGAGAGUCAAACUCUAUGGAGGGGGGAAACGUUCCCACUCACAGACACAUAUACAUGGGAACAAAGGGAAAAACUGUAGCGGGCGCUUUCAAAUUCUAACAGUUCUCGCA